RNAcentral lists this ribosomal RNA (461 nucleotides) under uncultured bacterium. RNAcentral's name for it is "partial 16S ribosomal RNA". It matches the Rfam family "Bacterial small subunit ribosomal RNA", at positions 338 to 795 of the family's 1533-position model. The record is from RNAcentral.
CCUACGGGUGGCUGCAGUGAGGAAUAUUGGUCAAUGGGCUUACGCCUGAACCAGCCAAGUCGCGUGAGGGAAGACUGCCCUAUGGGUUGUAAACCUCUUUUGUCAGUGAGCAACGCCGGCUACGUGUAGCCGGACUGAGAGUACCUGAAGAAAAAGCAUCGGCUAACUCCGUGCCAGCAGCCGCGGUAAUACGUAGGGGGCAAGCGUUAUCCGGAUUUACUGGGGGUAAAGGGAGCGUAGGCGGUUUAGCAAGUCAGAAGUGAAAGCCCGGGGCUCAACUCCGGGACUGCUUUUGAAACUGUUGAACGAGAUUGCAGGAGAGGGAAGUGGAAUUCCUAGUGUAGCGGUGAAAUGCGUAGAUAUUAGGAGGAACACCAGUGGCGAAGGCGGCUUACUGGACUGUAAAUGACGCUGAGGCUCGAAAGCGUGGGGAGCAAACAGGAUUAGAUACCCCAGUAGUC